RNAcentral lists this long non-coding RNA (763 nucleotides) under Chrysolophus pictus (golden pheasant). Its description in RNAcentral is "lncRNA (ENSCPIG00010007411.1)". Lineage: Eukaryota; Metazoa; Chordata; Aves; Galliformes; Phasianidae. The record is from RNAcentral.
AAAGAUGUCCUACAGUAGCUCUCUGAAGUAUUUAUGUGUUUUCCAAAGCGCUUACUCACCUUCAUUUCUCCAGCUACUGAAGUGCUCAGAUGGAGAGCUGCACCCUCCCAGCAAGAAAUGACCUGAGACUCACGAGCGCACUCAUACUUUUCCAUGGCCCAGGGAGCUGCAGGCCUGGCCUGUUGGGCAACGGGGCUGUGAACCGAUGCUGGUGGGAUUCCUGCAUUAGGCAACAGAGGCGUUAAUCCAACAGUUGGGAGGUGUGGUUGUGAAAGAGCCCAGCCAGGCCCUUAGCACACACCAACAGAAGGAUAUGGAACAACCGCGGAGUUGCACGGAGCUUCAGUUGCACCACUUCCUCUUGUGUGACAGGAUCGGGCUCGAAGGGAUGUUGCCAUGUCUCCCACGUUUUGUUUGUGGUCUCACCUCGCCUUGCUGAGACAGAUGUUUUUCACAAAGCCGUGCGCAUUGCCAGGUGGGCUUCCCUCUGUCACCUCUACAACCCUCUCCCCUCUCUUUGUGCAAAAAUGUGCUCUUGGCAGCCCCAGGUUCACCUGCUUUGGAGGCAGACCUGUGUCAGCUCUCCCUUUCCUCCUGGAGCUUUUCUAAUGCUUGUGCUGGAGAGGAACUUGUCAGCAAGAGGCUUCAGGCUGCGUUGCACUGGGAGUUCCCCAGGUAUGCUGUUUGCUGUGUGGAGGUGCAUCUGUUUCUGUGUUUUAUCCAAUAGGGCUGAAUAGCUGAAGAAUCUAUUGCGUUUAGCCUU